UACUAGAGUAGCACUCGCAUAUCAAUAAGCGGAGGAAAAGAAACUAACAAGGAUUCCCCUAGUAACGGCGAGUGAAGCGGGAAGAGCUCAAAUUUGAAAUCUUAAAGGGUUUCCCUUUACGAAUUGUAGUUUAAAGAAGUGUUUUCUGUUGAGGUUUUGGUAAAAGUUCUUUGGAAUAGGACAUCAUAGAGGGUGAGAAUCCCGUAUUUGACCUUUACUUUCAACUUUGUGAUACACUUUCAAAGAGUCGGAUUGUUUGGGAAUGCAGUCCAAAAUGGGUGGUAAAUUUCAUCUAAAGCUAAAUAUUGGCGAGAGACCGAUAGCGAACAGGUACCGUGAGGGAAAGAUGAAAAGAACUUUGAAAAGAGAGUUAAACAGUACGUGAAAUUGUCAAAAGGGAAGCGUUUGACACCAGUGUUGUUUUUCUGAAAAUCAAUUAAAGAACUGUUUAUGCUAAGCUGUUUAGACUUUAUCAGCUAACUGUUUAGUUUUGAGCUUUUCUUUAAUGCACUUUUCAGUUAACAAGUCAACAUCAAUUUCUUUUGCUGUAAAAAAGCUUGAGGAAGGUGGCUUGAGAUUCGUCUUAAGUGUUUAUAGCCUCUUGCCUAUGCAGUCGGAGAGAUUGAGGUCUGCAGCGUAGAUCCUUCGGGGCUAAAUGCAUUUGUGCUAAGUUAUAGCAUUUUAUAGACAACUUGUUGACUAUGAUUUGUCUUGUAGCUUACUCGCUUAUGUUAUUUUACCUACGCUUAGGAUGUUGAGCGCAUGUCUCUCUCU
RNAcentral lists this ribosomal RNA (774 nucleotides) under uncultured Neocallimastigales. RNAcentral's name for it is "partial large subunit ribosomal RNA". It matches the Rfam family "Eukaryotic large subunit ribosomal RNA", at positions 20 to 616 of the family's 3401-position model. The record is from RNAcentral. Lineage: Eukaryota; Fungi; Neocallimastigomycota; Neocallimastigomycetes; Neocallimastigales.